UCCGAGUUGACCCCGGCAGUCCUCCCAGAGUCCCCGACUUGACUCGCUGGCAACUGGGAGCGGGGGUUGCGCUCGUUGCGGGACUUAACCCAACACCUCACGGCACGAGCUGACGACAGCCAUGCAGCAUCUGCGCUGGUUCUCGACUUUACGAGUCGUUCCCCUUUCGGGGUUCUACUUCCAGCAUGUCAAACCUAGGUGAGGUUCUUCGCGUUGCAUCGAAUUAAACCACACGCUCCGCUGCUUGUGCGGACCCCCGCCAAUUCCUUUGAGUUUCAAUCUUGCGAUCGUACUUCCCAGGUGGGAUACUUAAUGCUUUCGCUCAGACACACACAGUGUAUCGCGUAUGUCGGGUAUCCAUAGUUUAGGGCGUGGACUAC
This 380-nucleotide unclassified non-coding RNA is filed under the name uncultured bacterium. RNAcentral describes it as "contains 16S-23S intergenic spacer region". The record is from RNAcentral.